GUGCUCACACCAGCAGCACAUAUACUAAAAUUGUAACAAUACAGAGAAGAUUAGCAUGGCUCCUGAUCAAGGAUGGUAUGCAAAUUCAUGAAGUGUUCCACAUUUUU
Molecule: small nuclear RNA, 107 nt
Organism: Sciurus vulgaris (Eurasian red squirrel)
Lineage: Eukaryota; Metazoa; Chordata; Mammalia; Rodentia; Sciuridae
Source: Ensembl